Molecule: ribosomal RNA, 254 nt
Filed under: uncultured bacterium
Lineage: Bacteria
Description: partial 16S ribosomal RNA
Rfam family: Bacterial small subunit ribosomal RNA
Source: RNAcentral
UACGUAGGGUGCGAGCGUUGCCCGGAUUUAUUGGGCGUAAAGAGCUCGUAGGCGGCUUGGCAAGUCGGGUGUGAAACCUCCAGGCUCAACCUGGAGACGCCACUCGAUACUGCCAUGGCUAGAGUCCGGUAGGGGACCACGGAAUUCCUGGUGUAGCGGUGAAAUGCGCAGAUAUCAGGAGGAACACCGGUGGCGAAGGCGGUGGUCUGGGCCGGCACUGACGCUGAGGAGCGAAAGCGUGGGUAGCAAACAGG